GCAUGGGGUUAGGGUAUGGGGGGGGGCGACGGGACUAGAGCAACCAAACAGGACCUAACAGUGUUCGAAUCCCCAGCGUGUCCUGUGCUCUGUCUGUGACACGAUUCGGGAGCUCAAAGAAACAAAGUGACAACAACUCUGCUGCACUCAUCUGGGGUAGCUUCCUCUCAGUCUAUACAUCCCCAUUUAGUAAAUACCCUUGAGAAGGAAGAAUAGUAAGGCAGUUUGGGAGAUAGCAUUCAGAAGUUUCCGUUAUUGAUUGGGAAAAUAGAAUUGUUCCCAGGGGCAGAGGACCUGAAUUCGGUUCCCAACAUCUAUCUACACUGGGUUGCUUACAACCAUCUGUGACCCCAGCUCCAGAGGAUCCAACGCUUUCCAGCCUGCUCAGGUCCCUGCACACGCGACAGUCUCCUACAUACAUCCACAGCUGCCACACAAUGAAAUAAAUAAAACCUAAAUUUUUAAAUAGUUAUUCAUCAAUGUAAGGAAAACUGUAAAGUCCGGUUUAGGGCAGAAACUGAAUGAAACAGGAGGUAGGGAGGCCACUGAGGACCUGGGGAAGGUGGGCAUUUAAAAAGGAGUCCUCAAUGUGGGGUGCUAUAUCAAAACAGAGGCCGAAAAUUGUAGCCCUGGUUAGCAUUUUCUGCAUAAUCCACUUGUUAAAAACAAGAUGUCAUUAAAGGAAGUGCCCUGGGGCUGAAAAUGCACCUUAUGUGGGGGAGGGGAGAGUAGGUCCAAAGGAUUAAAGGACUAAAGAUUUUUGGUCCAGGACCUGGAUAGGUGUAAGGACAUCCUUAAAGAACCUAUAGGGCUCCGUGGUCCCUGUGACACUAGGGCCAAGGUCUAGUCCUCUGUGAGGACUCUUCCGUAGGCAUCUAAAAAGUCAAAAUCAUAUUUUUUGAAGUCUGAUGCAUCCAGAGUACAUUUUCCCCUCAGACUCACUCCUUAUCCUUGAGCACUUAGAAGCGUGAACAUGCUACAUCAAAAACAAGUAUUUUAAUUUGCGAGGCCUGCAGGAGGACUCAGCAGGUAAGCUCCAAGAGCAGAGUCUUUGGGUGUCGCAUGGCAGAGGAAGAGGACCAACUACCAUAGUACCAUAGUUUUCCCUUGAUUUCUUCCACACAGGAUCUUGCGCGCACACACACACACACACAUGCAUACACACACACACAAUCAAUCAAUCAAUCUUUAAAUUAGAAGUUGUCUAAGUAUAUUUCUUGUCAGCUGAGGAGACGUCUCAGCUCACUUGCCAUGCAUGUGUAGGGACCUGGAAUCAGAUCCCAGCACCCACAUAAGUAGCCAGGAGGAUGUACUGGUCUCCUCUAGUGCCAGCACCCAGGAGGCAGACACUGGGGGGGUCUACACGGCAAGCUAGCUAGCAGGACAAACCCACACAGUGCAUCCUGGGUUCAGCUAGAAUCCCGGCACCAUCUAAGAAGCCUGCCUUGGUAAAUGAAGUGGGGCAACUGAAGAAGACACCCAAUGCCAACCUUCUCCCUCCACACCCAUGAGCACCCAAUGUCAUCUCUGACCUCCACACUCUUGAGCACCCAAGUGUACGCCCACCGUAUUACAGGGCUCAUGAGCACCCAAGUGUACGCCCACCCUAUUGCGUGGCUCAUGCACAGAACCCCCAGAGAAACAUGAGGACAAAAGUUUAAAAUAAUUUUUUUUUUUUUAGUGUAAAUUUCUCUUACGCUGAAAUCGCUUGCUCAUCUGUCAGGCUGGUACGCAUAAGACAUGUGUUUGUCUUGGACUGACUGGGACUUUGUAAAGAAUCUUGUUCCUUCCCUUUGUCUAUUGCAUUAAGGUAUCUUGAGAAACUGCCUCACAAUUUACCACUCUGUCAGGACAAAUCUCUACACCUUUCCCCUCUGUGGAAACUGAGAAGGCCAGUGGAAUUCCAAGUGUCCUUCCACGCGCCCUUUCCCUAGGAGCUGUCUUCCCACUUAAAACCAUCUUUAAAAACUUUGACCACAUAGGUACAACUCAAAACGAACUGUCCAAACAUCCUGGAAUGGCAAUUCCAUAAAAUGUUAAAAAAAAAAAAAAAAAGCCCUCUCCGUCUUAUAAAACUAUUUAAAGCCCAAAUUAAAAAGAUCCACCAAGUCAGUCAGCUAAUUGUUUAAAACUGUGCAUAAAUAUGACUCACAAGCUACAAAGCCUGGAAUUCGAAAAUCACAAAUCUUAAUCUUGUAAACAAAACUCAAACUGGGGCCUCUGGACUUCGGUUCUUCUCGAGCUAAAGCAAACGUUUUAUGUACACAAAGGGAAGGAUAUUCUUUCUGAUGGUCUUCAGCAAAACCCAGCAGGGUUUUUUUUUUCUUUUAAUUUUUUUUUCUUGUGUGUGUCUAUAUGUGCUUGGGGUAGGGUUUGUGAGCACAGGAAGGGGCAGAGGAGGAGACCAGGGGUCCUCUGUCACUCUCCAUGAGUCUCUAUCACUCUCUUUGAGUCUCUCUCCGAACCUAGAGCUAACCUGGCAUCGAGCAAUUUCCAAAGGGUUUCCAGUCUUCUCUCACUAGUGCUGGGCUGGCAAAGAACCACACCCAACUUUGCAUAUGGGCCCUCGGGAUUUGAACUCACGUCCUCAAGCUUGCACAGCAAACACUCUUAGCCACUGAGCUAAAUCUCCCAAGCCAGCUUUAAGGGCCUGGGUUAACAUGAGAGACAGUUGACCUUUCUGGAACUGCACUUCAAUGGAAACCAACGACACGAACGCGGACUUUAUGAAGCAACAGGACUAAAACCUGUUAGGAUUUUUGCUGUUUCCCUUUGUGUGGCUCUUCCCUUCUGAAAUGGUCCACUGCUGUUUGCAACACGAUCCAAAACUCUUAAAUCACCUCAACUACCGAUGUCUGCAACGAGCUCUCUUGCACCCUACUUCCGCGCUCCCCAACACACACACACACACACACACACACACACACACACACACACACACGGCCACCGCAAUCUCUGCAUUUCACCCCAAAUCGACCCUGGCCAUCCUCUUAGUUACUAGGGAAGGUCAUGGAAAGCCAGUGAUGAAAAGAGUGUAAACUUUCACAAACUGAACCACUGCAUUGUACAGUAGGGAAAACUGAGGCCCAGAGUCAUGUGACUUGCCCAGAUCGUGGCCCUAACUCUAACUUUAGAGUUAAAAUGCCAGAUUUUAAACUUUCCAAGCAAACCCUUAGGAAGGAGCCCUAGAGCCUGCUUUUCUCCCUUAACUAACCCCUGCGAUGGGACCUGGAGGACAACCUGGGUUAGGUGUUUCCAUUGAAUAGUAGCUGCUGAGAUCUUUCAUUCCAGGCAGCAUCCCUAUAGUCCAUCACUUAGUAGGCAUGCACUAGAUUUUUCUCAGCCAUCAACCUGACCACCCUCACUGGGUCCUCAUCCCGGCAGGCCAGGAAUCAGCGAGGAUAGAGAUCAGUUCUCUUCUCUAACUUGUAUCCAGUGAGUCACGGCCCAGAAUCCCUCCCGAGAUGGCAAAGCUGAGGACUGAGAGUCUGGCUCAGUCGCGGUGUCUAGGGCAGUAAGCGGCCCAGGUGUGCAGCAGCUGGGCGUCCAGUCCCCUGCCGAUGCUCCUCCAAGUUCCAACUUCUUAAACUUCCCUUUCCGGGGCUCCAGGCCCCUCGCGGCCGACCUGGCCUUUCGUGCGCGCACAAAGGGGGUCAGGAGCGUCCCCAAGUCCCCUGCAAGUGGACUGUCCUGCUCUUUUGCGAGAGAUCUUGCCCGGAUCCCCGCGGGCCUGAACCGACUCGGGCCGCUACAAACUUCCCGUUUCCGCUCUCGCACCGGGUCCCGCGGCCGACUGUCAAUCGCUGCCCUGGGGGCUGGAGGAGGAGCGGGGAGCCCCAGUGAACCCCCAGGGUCGCGCCCUGGCCACUCACUCACCCGACUUGGGAACGUGCGGCGGGAUCGUGCUGGCGAUGCGCGUCCACAGGACGAUAUGCAGCGGCCACAGGCCCCGGAGCAGCCCCCGACCCAUGGCAGCCCCCGUCGCUCGUCAUAGACCGGCCCCUGGUGCGCCACGAACCGAGCCUCGGGGACCCCGGGCUGCGCCUUUACUCCUCGCCCUCUCAGGAUGCGGGCCAGAUGUGGCCGGCGAUCCCCGGAGCUCGGAGGCCCGGAGGAGGCCCCCGGCGGCCGAGGAGAGCUGAGCAGGAGGCUGGGGCUCCGUCCCCCAGGCGAGCGUGUGCGCGCGCGGGGGGUGUCGUCGGUCGGUGCGCGCGAGUGACUCACUCAUCAACUUUACCCGGGCGCCGAGAGGGAAACAGGAAACUCCUCGCCAACAGCUGGGCAGGACCUCUCGCCGCCGGAGAGCCUUCCAGCUCCGGCCCUCUCCUCCAGCUUCCAGCCCUCGCCUUCCUCCGGCCGCCAAUCAAGGCCGCUGGAUUGGACCUUGCCUGGACUCUACAAACUUUUAGCUGCCCACUCCCAGCGCUCCCACGCAACCCCCACCCCGCCAAGUCUGGGCUCCAAGUUCAAACUCAGAAGUGACUAAGCGCACUUUUCGCAAAACAAGCUCGAAAGUGGUGUAAACCACUUUCCUUGAUACACCUCCAGGCACCCCCACACCUUCUAGGCAUUACUCCCAGGGGCUUCAUAAUUCCAUUGAGACCCAGGAGAGAGCUCUGAAAUGUAGCUUCAGAGUCCCGAACACGUUGCUUCCCCUAAUAAAAUAAAGUAGGUCUGAACCCAGAGUGUCUGCAUGUCUAAUGAGCACCUGGGUAGAGCCUCCCAUUGGAAGGACCGUUUCCUGGGCGUGGUUUGCUGGGUGAAGCUCUGUGAUCAAGAUGGAGUCUCAUGUACAUUGCUGACCUCAAACUUGCCAGGUAGCCGAGGCUGGCUUUGAACUCUGGACGCUCCUGCCUAAGUCUCCCAACUGCUGAGGUUACAGGUGUUCAUCCACCAUGUCGAGACCUUUUACAACAUUUAUGAUAUCUGGGUUUCAUAAUGUUUCUCACUGACUCCCAAUCUCAUGUCUCCUUCAACUUCAAAGAUCUUGAGGGCAGGCACUAUACACCUAUCUUUCCUUACUACUGAAUCCAUGUACUAAACAGGUCUCAGGUCUGCAGUCAGGCAUGUGUUGGCUAAGUGAGCACAUGAGGUAACAAGGACUCAGAGGACGAGUGACCUCAGGGACCUAGUGAUUUCAUAAUUCUGAGGAGAGCAUUAUGUAACCCGACAGAGAUAUGAAUAGAUGAGCUUUCUGCCAGUGCUGCUUCCCUUUCUGAGAAAGGAGAAAUGAACCUGCUGCCUUCUGUCUUCUUAAUUUCCCCUAAGUUUGUCCAAGUUCUCUAUCUGUGACAGAUGUGCUGUCUUCUCUGUGUGUGCUAAAACAAGUAAAGGUCCCAACCAUCCCAAGGAGCCUGGAGCGACAGCACAGUUGAUAAAGUGUAGUGAGAAUUCUGGAGAUUUGGUUUAUUGAAAUAAACACAGAAAUAUUAUAAGAA
Mus musculus (house mouse) is the source of this 5438-nucleotide long non-coding RNA. RefSeq annotates it as predicted gene, 40582. The transcript has 3 exons. The record is from RefSeq and is a predicted model, not a curated record. NCBI's taxonomy places the organism in Eukaryota, Metazoa, Chordata, Mammalia, Rodentia, Muridae.